This 512-nucleotide ribosomal RNA is filed under the name Enterococcus faecium. RNAcentral's name for it is "bacterial SSU rRNA". It matches the Rfam family "Bacterial small subunit ribosomal RNA", at positions 20 to 503 of the family's 1533-position model. The record is from RNAcentral. Lineage: Bacteria; Bacillati; Bacillota; Bacilli; Lactobacillales; Enterococcaceae.
CUGCUCAGGACGAACGCUGGCGGCGUGCCUAAUACAUGCAAGUCGAACGCUUCUUUUUCCACCGGAGCUUGCUCCACCGGAAAAAGAGGAGUGGCGAACGGGUGAGUAACACGUGGGUAACCUGCCCAUCAGAAGGGGAUAACACUUGGAAACAGGUGCUAAUACCGUAUAACAAUCGAAACCGCAUGGUUUUGAUUUGAAAGGCGCUUUCGGGUGUCGCUGAUGGAUGGACCCGCGGUGCAUUAGCUAGUUGGUGAGGUAACGGCUCACCAAGGCCACGAUGCAUAGCCGACCUGAGAGGGUGAUCGGCCACAUUGGGACUGAGACACGGCCCAAACUCCUACGGGAGGCAGCAGUAGGGAAUCUUCGGCAAUGGACGAAAGUCUGACCGAGCAACGCCGCGUGAGUGAAGAAGGUUUUCGGAUCGUAAAACUCUGUUGUUAGAGAAGAACAAGGAUGAGAGUAACUGUUCAUCCCUUGACGGUAUCUAACCAGAAAGCCACGGCUAAUCG